UACGUAGGGGGCGAGCGUUGUCCGGAUUUAUUGGGCGUAAAGAGCUCGUAGGCGGUUCGGUAAGUCGGAUGUGAAAUCUCCACGCUCAACGUGGAGGGGCCACCUGAUACUGCUGUGACUCGAGUCCGGUAGGGGAGUGUGGAAUUCCCGGUGUAGCGGUGAAAUGCGCAGAUAUCGGGAGGAACACCAGUAGCGAAGGCGGCACUCUGGGCCGUGACUGACGCUGAGGAGCGAAAGCGUGGGUAGCAAACAGG
This 254-nucleotide ribosomal RNA is filed under the name uncultured bacterium. Its description in RNAcentral is "partial 16S ribosomal RNA". It matches the Rfam family "Bacterial small subunit ribosomal RNA", at positions 524 to 776 of the family's 1533-position model. The record is from RNAcentral.